RNAcentral lists this long non-coding RNA (604 nucleotides) under Hordeum vulgare. Its description in RNAcentral is "long non-coding RNA (HVUL_LNC010077)". Lineage: Eukaryota; Viridiplantae; Streptophyta; Magnoliopsida; Poales; Poaceae. The record is from RNAcentral.
UCUAUGGUUGUUUUGUGUACCGGCGAAAGUUGCGCGGCACUAGAGAGGCUAGCAAUGGUGGAAGGUGAAAGUGCAUCUAUACCAUGGACUCACAUUAGUCAUGAAGGACUCACAUAUUUAUUGCGAAAGUUUUUAUUAGUAAUCGAAACAAAGUGCUAAACGCAUACUCCUAGGGGAAGGGUUGGUAGGUGUUAACCAUCGCGCGAUCCCGACCGCAACAAAAAGGAUGACAGUCAAUAAAUCAAUUAUGCUCCGACUUCCUAACAUAGCGGUUCACCUUGCGUGCAUGUUAUGGGAAUCACUAACUUCAACACAAGUAUUUCUAGAUUCACAACACCCUACUAACAUGACUCUUAAUAUUACCAAAUCUCCGUGCGUAUCUUCUGUUCCGGAAAAAAUCUUUUUGGAGGUUUUAUUCCGUUUGGACGCCGUUUAAUAUUCUCCUAUGAAAAAGGUCAAAAACACGGAAAAAUAGGAACUAGCACUUGGCACUGAGUUAAUAAGUUAGUCCCCAAAAAUAUGUAAAAUGCAUACAAAACAUCCAAAGUUUGACAAGAUAAUAGCAUGGAACCAUAAAAAAUUAGAGAUACGUUGGAGACGUAUC